UCCAGCAGCCGCGGUAAUACGUUCCCGGGCCUUGUACACACCGCCCGUCACACCACGAAAGUCGGCAAUACCCGAAGCAGGCGCAGCCAACCCCUUGUGGGAGGCGGUCUGCGAAGGUAGGGCUGGCGAUUGGGGUGAAGUCGUAACAAGGUAGCCGUACCUGAAGGUGCGGCUGGAUCACCUCCUUUCUAGGGAGAAGGUAGGGCAGCAAUGCCCGACCGAUCGGACACCGAUACAAAGGAUGGCUGGAGCGUUUGCUCGCCACUUUGCGGUGUACCGCUCUAGGAUAUUUCGACCGGUCUCUGGCGGAGGGUUCCUACUCUCUAAGAGUAGCUGCUAUUCAGUUUUCAGGGCCUUGUGGUCCUGACCUUUUGGCGUGCGCCCGCGAGAGCGUGGUGUCUGUUCUUUGAAAACCGCAUAGCGCGAUCCAAUGUACCAUCAAGAUACUAAGGGCGUAUGGUGGAUACCUAGGCACACAGAGA
This 482-nucleotide small RNA is filed under the name uncultured organism. RNAcentral describes it as "bacterial LSU rRNA". The stretch from base 1 to 188 matches the Rfam family "Bacterial small subunit ribosomal RNA", at positions 1348 to 1533 of the family's 1533-position model. The record is from RNAcentral.